Molecule: ribosomal RNA, 496 nt
Filed under: uncultured bacterium
Lineage: Bacteria
Description: partial 16S ribosomal RNA
Rfam family: Bacterial small subunit ribosomal RNA
Source: RNAcentral
GAUGAACGCUGGCGGCGUGCCUAAUACAUGCAAGUCGAGCGAACGGACGAGAAGCUUGCUUCUCUGAUGUUAGCGGCGGACGGGUGAGUAACACGUGGAUAACCUACCUAUAAGACUGGGAUAACUUCGGGAAACCGGAGCUAAUACCGGAUAAUAUUUUGAACCGCAUGGUUCAAAAGUGAAAGACGGUCUUGCUGUCACUUAUAGAUGGAUCCGCGCUGCAUUAGCUAGUUGGUAAGGUAACGGCUUACCAAGGCAACGAUGCAUAGCCGACCUGAGAGGGUGAUCGGCCACACUGGAACUGAGACACGGUCCAGACUCCGACGGGAGGCAGCAGUAGGGAAGCGUCCGCGAUGGGCGAAAGCCUGACGGAGCAACGCCGCGUGAGUGAUGAAGGUCUUCGGAUCGUAAAACUCUGUUAUUAGGGAAGAACAUAUGUGUAAGUAACUGUGCACAUCUUGACGGUACCUAAUCAGAAAGCCACGGCUAACUACGU